AAAUCUUUUUAGCUGGAGGUUGGUAGUAGGUUUAAAGUGACAAGGAGUCCCGUUGGGACAUGAAUUCCUUCCUUAAGUCGCAUGCCAAACUCUGUGCAUCUGUGUCUUGCUGUGGGUUGGGGACGCACUGCUUUCAUCAGGUGAUGAAAGUGAUUAUACCCAGCAGCGGGCUAGUGAUGGCAUGCACCUGUUAGAGGUGUGGAUGAGCCAACGGUUCAGGAGGUUUGUUCAGCAGAUCUUAGUAUUUUAUUGGAGGUGGGGCUUGGAGGACAUUGCGGAGUUGAUGACUUCCUGGUUUCCACCAGAAAUAAUAAUAACUUACUGAAAGGGAAAGGAGAGGAGCAGAGCAGAUACGGAAGGGAAGGUGAAGCGUUUGCUUCAGCCAUUUUUUGCAUUUGGUAAGUUUGGAACAUCCAAGUGACAAUCUGUAUCUUUGGCCUCAUUUGUGUGCGUGAAUAAUUUAGAGACAAGAAUAAUUUGCUCCAGAACAUGCAUCAAAAUAGCAGCAGAUAUCAAAGACUUUAAUAAGUGCCUUUCCCUCCCUCAGCUUCUCAAUUGGUGGCGGAAAGAAAGUCUUAAGGAGCAGCAAAGGCGUGAUUGUGCCAGUGUGCCGAUUUCCAAAGCAUUCCAGUAUUCCAGGGACUUGAAGGGAUGCUUCAGGAUUUCACUAGGGAUGGCAUAAAAUUUUAUUUUAAAGUCAUAUUUAAAAUUGUUGUGUAUUGAAACAUACACACACACACACACACACACACUUAAGAUAUAAUGUCCUUAAAUGUGCUGUGCAAUAUUUUGACUUACAGAGACUGCUAACAUGGUGCUUUAUGCUGCUAGGGUAACCCAGUUUGUGCAGACUUUGGAAUAAGGCUCUCUUGCCAUCUUGUUCUUACUGAAAAGCAUCCCAUGAAUGCAAGGUGAUCGGUGGCAGCAAAUGGUCUUCAGUAGCCUGCUAGGCUCCCUCCUUUUACUUACACCUUCUGCGGCUGGUUCUCUACCCACAGCCAGUCAUCUUUCUAAAACAGAAGUCUGAUCCUAUCCCUUGACUGCCUUUUAACAGCCUCUGGAGUCUUGCUGUUAAACCCAACCCCCAGACUUUUGUUGUGGUUUGCAAAGCCCCCUUGCACCUUUCUGUUCAUCUGUCCCUCUCCCUCCUGCUCCCGUGAAAGCCAAGGUGGCCUCUCGCUGUUCCUGGCAGCAGACAUGUGCCCUCAGGACCUUUGCACUUGCCCUGCUCUCUGCUGGACUGCUUUGCCUCCGCACCUGUGCGGCCACCCUCCUUUCCUUCUUCACGUCUCCUUAUUGCUCACUUCCUCGGAGCAUCUUUUUCUAAUGUGCUCACCCUUCCUUCCAUCAGCUGCGUCUCCUGAGCUUGCCUUCAUUUCCCUCAUAACAGUUCUUUCCUAACAAUGUGUGUGUAUUCGGUUUUCUUGUUGGUCUGUCUCAUCUUUCUGAGAAUGGGCCUCCUGAGGUCAGGGCCUUUACCUGACUUAUUCACUGCCCCAGCAUCUAAAAGGCGCUCACUGGGUACCCAGGAAUGAAUGAACGAAUCAGAUUUUCUUGCUACUCCACAGAUGAAUCAAAAUUGUAGAUAUAAGUUGGAUGAUGGGGCUAGUGAAAAAGCUUGGGCUUGGAACUCAGUCUUGGGCAAGUGGCCUAAGGACAGACACUGGUACCUUGUUUUUCUGAAAAGAACUGAUCAUGUCGGAAUGACAGGAAGCUCUCUGUGCACACGGCCGUCUGUGGGAGCUUUGAAGACAAUAAUAUAGUAUUCGUUCUACCGGGGAGCUCCUCUGCAUCGAGCGACGGUGAAAAAUGUUUCGGAAAGGCAAAAAACGGCACAGUAGCAGCAGUUCCCAGAGCAGUGAAAUCAGUACUAAGAGCAAGUCUGUAGACUCCAGCCUUGGCGGGCUCUCACGAUCCAGCACUGUGGCCAGCCUCGAUACAGAUUCUACCAAAAGCUCAGGACAAAGCAAUAACACUUCAGAUACCUGUGCAGAAUUUCGAAUAAAAUAUGUUGGUGCCAUUGAGAAACUGAAAUUCUCUGAAGGGAAAAGUCUUGAAGGGCCCCUAGACCUGAUAAAUUAUAUAGAUGUUGCCCAGCAAGAUGGAAAGUUGCCUUUCGUUCCUCUGGAGGAAGAAUUUAUUAUGGGAGUUUCCAAGUAUGGUAUAAAAGUGUCAACAUCAGAUCAGUAUGAUGUCCUGCAUCGGCACGCUCUGUAUUUAAUCAUCCGGAUGGUGUGUUACGAUGAUGGUCUGGGGGCAGGAAGAAGCUUGCUGGCUCUGAAGACCACAGAUGCCAGCAAUGAGGAAUACAGCCUCUGGGUUUAUCAGUGCCACAGCCUGGAGCAAGCACAAGCCAUCUGCAAAGUUUUAUCCACCGCUUUUGACUCCGUAUUAACAUCUGAGAAAUCCUGAAUUCUGCAAUCAAGUGGAAGCUGACUUCGUGUGGGAGUUCGGUGGUUUUCAGUCUGCAGGGUUGAGCUAUUAUGGGAGUAGGAAGUGGUGAAAGCGAAGAAAUGCGGUGUGUAACAUACUGAUCAUUUGCUUUUCUAUUAAAAUGUGUCUUAUUACGGUGAGUUAACUCUCAACGAGGUUGUCCGCUUUCUGCGACUAAAAAAGAAACCUCCCCUCUCGCUUUUAAACACAAAUGAGCUUAACACCUAAGCGUCACAGAAGUGCCCUCAGUGAGUGGCGAGCACGGAGCGCUUUCCACGGAGGUCACGUACCGUCCCCCCGGGGCGGCACGUGGGCCCCUCGCCGGCUGGGAGCGCCGGUCACCUGGUCUGGAACAGCGACGCAGCUCUGCCAGCUCACGACACAAAAAGUAAGACCGUGAAGGUGCACCGUCAGGAGGACGUGCUCGGAAACCAGAGCAUCGACCUCGGCGUUCCCAGGCAAGAGAUCACCGCGCGUGUUAAACAGCACAGAAAGAAUCUCAUGUACAGGAGGCUGUCAAAUGACUAGUUCGCGGGAAGAGCCAACUUACUGAACAUGCUCUAAUUAUAAAUCACUGCAUUAAGGACAACGAAAAUAAGAAUUGAUUUAGGUUAUACAAUAUAUACAGUUGCGCUGCAACCAGAUCAGAGCAAUCAAGCGAAUGAACGGAGUAUCAUUGUCUCAGGUAGCGUUCCGAGCUGCAUGCCACACCA
Molecule: RNA transcript, 3146 nt
Organism: Lynx canadensis (Canada lynx)
Lineage: Eukaryota; Metazoa; Chordata; Mammalia; Carnivora; Felidae
Gene: ITGB1BP1
Gene name: integrin subunit beta 1 binding protein 1
Exons: 9
Source: RefSeq, a predicted model, not a curated record